RNAcentral lists this ribosomal RNA (615 nucleotides) under uncultured Clostridium sp. RNAcentral's name for it is "bacterial SSU rRNA". It matches the Rfam family "Bacterial small subunit ribosomal RNA", at positions 65 to 697 of the family's 1533-position model. The record is from RNAcentral. Lineage: Bacteria; Bacillati; Bacillota; Clostridia; Eubacteriales; Clostridiaceae.
AAUGAACCCUUCGGGGAGAAUUAGAGCGGAUUAGUGGCGAACGGGUGAGUAACGCGUGAGUAACCUGCCUUACACAAGGGGAUAGCCUUUGGAAACGAAGAAUAAUACCCUAUAAAACCAUAAAAGCACAUGCAAUUAUGGUCAAAGUGAUAGCGGUGUAAGAUGGACUUGCGUCUGAUUAGCUAGUUGGUGAGAUAAAAGCCCACCAAGGCAACGAUCAGUAGCCGGCUUGAGAGAGUGUACGGCCACAUUGGGACUGAGACACGGCCCAGACUCCUACGGGAGGCAGCAGUGGGGAAUUUUGCACAAUGGGGGAAACCCUGAUGCAGCGACGCCGCGUGAUUUAGAAGGCCUUCGGGUUGUAGAAAUCUUUUGUAUAGGAAGAAAAUGACAGUACUAUACGAAUAAGGUCCGGCUAAUUACGUGCCAGCAGCCGCGGUGAUACGUAAGGACCGAGCGUUGUCCGGAAUCAUCGGGCGUAAAGGGUACGUAGGCGGCUAGAAAAGUUAGAAGUCAAAGGCUAUAGCUCAACUAUAGUAAGCUUCUAAAACUAUUUAGCUUGGGAGAUGGAAGGGAAAGUGGAAUUCCUAGUGUAGCGGUGGAAUGCGCAGAUAU